CGAGCGCAACCAUUAUCCUUUGUUGCCAGCGAGUAAUGUCGGGAACUCAAAGGAGACUGCCGGUGACAAACCGGAGGAAGGUGGGGAUGACGUCAAGUCAUCAUGGCCCUUACGGCCAGGGCUACACACGUGCUACAAUGGCGCAUACAAAGAGAAGCGAACUCGCGAGAGCAAGCGGACCUCACAAAGUGCGUCGUAGUCCGGAUCGGAGUCUGCAACUCGACUCCGUGAAGUCGGAAUCGCUAGUAAUCGUAGAUCAGAAUGSUACGGUGAAUACGUUCCCGGGCCUUGUACACACCGCCCGUCACACCAUGGGAGUGGGUUGCAAAAGAAGUAGGUAGCUUAACCUUCGGGAGGGCGCUUACCACUUGUGAUUCAGACUGGGGUGAAGUCGUAACAAGGUA
RNAcentral lists this ribosomal RNA (404 nucleotides) under uncultured deep-sea bacterium. RNAcentral's name for it is "bacterial SSU rRNA". It matches the Rfam family "Bacterial small subunit ribosomal RNA", at positions 1093 to 1498 of the family's 1533-position model. The record is from RNAcentral.